UACGGAGGUAGCUAGCGUUGUUCGGAAUUACUGGGCGUAAAGCGCACGUAGGCGGCCUUGUAAGUCAGAGGUGAAAGCCUGGAGCUCAACUCCAGAACUGCCUUUGAGACUGCAUCGCUUGAAUCAAGGAGAGGUGAGUGGAAUUCCGAGUGUAGAGGUGAAAUUCGUAGAUAUUCGGAAGAACACCAGUGGCGAAGGCGGGUCACUGGACUGGUAUUGACGCUGAGGUGCGAAAGCGUGGGGAGCAAACGGG
This 253-nucleotide ribosomal RNA is filed under the name uncultured bacterium. RNAcentral's name for it is "partial 16S ribosomal RNA". It matches the Rfam family "Bacterial small subunit ribosomal RNA", at positions 524 to 776 of the family's 1533-position model. The record is from RNAcentral.